Spinacia oleracea (spinach) is the source of this 105-nucleotide non-coding RNA. Lineage: Eukaryota; Viridiplantae; Streptophyta; Magnoliopsida; Caryophyllales; Amaranthaceae. The record is from Rfam.
AUGCUGUGGCGAGGACACUCCCUUUGAUACUCCUUGAACCUAUCACAUGCUUCAAAUAAGGAUUCAUCACGUUUUUGCUCGAAGGAUUGUAUCUUGUUCCGGUAU